ACGGGUGAGUAACGCGUGGGAACGUACCCUUUACUACGGAAUAACGCAUGGAAACGUGUGCUAAUACCGUAUGUGCCCUAUUGGGGAAAGAUUUAUCGGUAAAGGAUCGGCCCGCGUUGGAUUAGCUAGUUGGUGGGGUAAAGGCCUACCAAGGCGACGAUCCAUAGCUGGUCUGAGAGGAUGAUCAGCCACAUUGGGACUGAGACACGGCCCAAACUCCUACGGGAGGCAGCAGUGGGGAAUAUUGGACAAUGGGCGCAAGCCUGAUCCAGCCAUGCCGCGUGAGUGAUGAAGGCCUUAGGGUUGUAAAGCUCUUUCACCGGAGAAGAUAAUGACGGUAUCCGGAGAAGAAGCCCCGGCUAACUUCGUGCCAGCAGCCGCGGUAAUACGAAGGGGGCUAGCGUUGUUCGGAUUUACUGGGCGUAAAGCGCACGUAGGCGGAUCGAUCAGUCAGGGGUGAAAUCCCAGAGCUCAACUCUGGAACUGCCUUUGAUACUGUCGAUCUGGAGUAUGGAAGAGGUGAGUGGAAUUCCGAGUGUAGAGGUGAAAUUCGUAGA
This 557-nucleotide ribosomal RNA is filed under the name uncultured bacterium. RNAcentral describes it as "bacterial SSU rRNA". It matches the Rfam family "Bacterial small subunit ribosomal RNA", at positions 102 to 694 of the family's 1533-position model. The record is from RNAcentral.